RNAcentral lists this long non-coding RNA (742 nucleotides) under Monodelphis domestica (gray short-tailed opossum). RNAcentral describes it as "lncRNA (ENSMODG00000046262.1)". Lineage: Eukaryota; Metazoa; Chordata; Mammalia; Didelphimorphia; Didelphidae. The record is from RNAcentral.
CCUUGUAUUUCUAUUUCUAUCCCUGAGCACAGAAUCAGUAUUUAACAUGUAAUUGUUGAUUGAUCAACUAAUUAGAGGUGUUAGAUUUGAUGAAAAGAAGGUCCACCCUUAAUCGUUAUUGUUCAUCCUUUGUUUCCAAAGAGUGGACCUCUAUGACAUCAUAGAAUAGCUUAACUUGCACCUGAACUAGAUUUAAGUGAGGCAGAGCUGCACAAAGUCAUCAGCCUCAUCCUCUAGUCCAGAGUCAUCCAAUCCCAGUGGCAAAACAAAAGCCAGGACCACAGCCAAUGAUCCGGGAUUCCGUGGAUGACUUUGGUGUCCUUAAUGUUUGACCAAGCUCUAAGUGUUCCACAGGGACCUUCACGCCACUGGAACAAAUUGUUCUCAUUCAUCCAUUCUGCUGGGAUUCCGGGAUCUUCCCUCAAGAGUAAAGAGAGAGAGUCUCUUUCAGAAAAGUGGCUGCAGGAUGGCUGUAAAGGUCAUAGCUCCAGUUCUAGAUUCUUUCCCUCCUCUACCCCUUUUUAAGAAGGUGAGUAAUUUGAUAUCAAUUAUACAUGUAAAAUUAUGCAAAACACAUUUUCAUGUUAGCCAUUUUAUAAAAGAAAACAUAGCCACUGUAAUGAUUAAAAUAGUUGGAGCCAUAAACUGUAACAUUUAAAAGAGCUGGUUGGCAUAAACUGAGACAGAUAAGAUAUGGUUUUUUUAUAUUAAAAAUAAAGUGGUCACCAGGGAAAAAUUCCCA